RNAcentral lists this long non-coding RNA (456 nucleotides) under Linum usitatissimum (flax). RNAcentral's name for it is "long non-coding RNA (LUSI_LNC007354)". The record is from RNAcentral. Lineage: Eukaryota; Viridiplantae; Streptophyta; Magnoliopsida; Malpighiales; Linaceae.
GAAUGAGCACAAUUGAAGAUGCACGGCGUGCACCGCUGCACGCCGUUCACCUGCUUUUGGUGCGCGGAACAGACUCCUUUGGAAGGUGCAUGGCGUGCACCCCUGCACGGCGUGCACCUUGCCAGAUCCAGCUGCAACUAUAAAAAGGGAAGGUGGAGGAAAGAGAAAGAGAACUUUUCCCAGCUCGAUUUUCCCCAAUUUCUCCCGAGUUUUCUCUGCAAAAACCAGCUCCCAACCUCAUCUAGAGCCCAAAUUGAAGAUCUAAAGGAGCUGCCUUUGAAGGAUUGAAGCCAGGAGUGAAGCUAGGAGAUCAAGAGCAUCGAUUGGAGGAAGAUAAAGCCGAUUAUUUUCUGUAAUAAGAUGGUUAGGUCUUCUUUCCAAAUGCUUUCUUCUAGAAUCAUGUUGAGCUAAUUUCCUUGAGAUUCUUGGAUGAGAUGUAGGAAUUGAGCUAUGAAA